This 492-nucleotide ribosomal RNA is filed under the name uncultured bacterium. RNAcentral's name for it is "partial 16S ribosomal RNA". It matches the Rfam family "Bacterial small subunit ribosomal RNA", at positions 29 to 507 of the family's 1533-position model. The record is from RNAcentral.
AGUGAACGCUGGCGGUAGGCCUAACACAUGCAAGUCGAACGGCAGCACAGUAAGAGCUUGCUCUUACGGGUGGCGAGUGGCGGAUGGGUGAGGAAUAUAUCGGAAUCUACUUUUUCGUGGGGGAUAACGUAGGGAAACUUACGCUAAUCCCGCAUACGACCUACGGGUGAAAGCAGGGGAUCUUCGGACCUUGCGUGAUUGAAUGAGCCGAUGUCGGAUUAGCUAGUUGGCGGGGUAAAGGCCCACCAAGGCGACGAUCCGUAGCUGGUCUGAGAGGAUGAUCAGCCACACUGGAACUGAGACACGGUCCAGACUCCUACGGGAGGCAGCAGUGGGGAAUAUUGGACAAUGGGCGCAAGCCUGAUCCAGCCAUACCGCGUGGGUGAAGAAGGCCUUCGGGUUGUAAAGCCCUUUUGUUGGGGAAGAAAAGCAGCAGGUUAAUACCCCGCUGUUCUGACGGUACCCAAAGAAUAAGCACCGGCUAACUUCGUG